This 236-nucleotide ribosomal RNA is filed under the name uncultured bacterium. RNAcentral describes it as "partial 16S ribosomal RNA". It matches the Rfam family "Bacterial small subunit ribosomal RNA", at positions 92 to 334 of the family's 1533-position model. The record is from RNAcentral.
UUAGUGGCGAACGGGUGAGUAACAUAUCGGAACGUACCAGUAAUGGGGAUAACUAGUCGAAAGACUGGCUAAUACCGCAUACGCCCUGAGGGGGAAAGCGGGGAUCGAAAGACCUCGUGUUAUUGGAGCGGCCGAUAUCUGAUUAGCUAGUUGGUGGGGUAAAGGCCUACCAAGGCGACGAUCAGUAGCUGGUCUGAGAGGACGACCAGCCACACUGGAACUGAGACACGGUCCAG